CCUACGGGGGGCAGCAGUGAGGAAUAUUGGUCAAUGGACGAGAGUCUGAACCAGACAAGUAGCGUGAAGGAUGACUGCCCUAUGGGUUGUAAACUUCUUUUAUAUGGGAAUAAAAUGUUCCACGUGUGGGAUUUUGUAUGUACCAUAUGAAUAAGGAUCGGCUAACUCCGUGCCAGCAGCCGCGGUAAUACGGAGGAUCCGAGCGUUAUCCGGAUUUAUUGGGUUUAAAGGGAGCGUAGGUGGAUUGUUAAGUCAGUUGUGAAAGUUUGCGGCUCAACCGUAAAAUUGCAGUUGAAACUGGCAGUCUUGAGUACAGUAGAGGUGGGCGGAAUUCGUGGUGUAGCGGUGAAAUGCUUAGAUAUCACGAAGAACUCCGAUUGCGAAGGCAGUUCACUGGACUGCAACUGACACUGAGGCUCGAAAGUGUGGGUAUCAAACAGGAUUAGAUACCCGGGUAGUC
RNAcentral lists this ribosomal RNA (460 nucleotides) under uncultured bacterium. RNAcentral describes it as "partial 16S ribosomal RNA". It matches the Rfam family "Bacterial small subunit ribosomal RNA", at positions 338 to 795 of the family's 1533-position model. The record is from RNAcentral.